UGGGGAAUAUUGGACAAUGGGCGGAAGCCUGAUCCAGCAACGCCGCGUGAGGGAUGACGGCCUUCGGGUUGUAAACCUCUUUCAGUAGGGACGAAGCGCGAGUGACGGUACCUACAGAAGAAGCACCGGCCAACUACGUGCCAGCAGCCGCGGUAAUACGUAGGGUGCGAGCGUUGUCCGGAAUUAUUGGGCGUAAAGGGCUCGUAGGCGGUUUGUCGCGUCGGGAGUGAAAACACCGGGCUUAACUCGGUGCUUGCUUUCGAUACGGGCAGACUAGAGGCAUGCAGGGGAGAACGGAAUUCCUGGUGUAGCGGUGAAAUGCGCAGAUAUCAGGAGGAACACCGGUGGCGAAGGCGGUUCUCUGGGCAUGUCCUGACGCUGAGGAGCGAAAGUGUGGGGAGCGAACA
Molecule: ribosomal RNA, 407 nt
Filed under: uncultured Nocardioides sp.
Lineage: Bacteria; Bacillati; Actinomycetota; Actinomycetes; Propionibacteriales; Nocardioidaceae
Description: bacterial SSU rRNA
Rfam family: Bacterial small subunit ribosomal RNA
Source: RNAcentral